UACGGGGGGGGCAAGCGUUGUUCGGAAUUAUUGGGCGUAAAGAGCUCGUAGGCGGUUUGUCGCGUCGAAUGUGAAAACCCGGGGCUCAACCCCGGGCCUGCAUUCGAUACGGGCAGACUAGAGUUCGGUAGGGGAGUCUGGAAUUCCUGGUGUAGCGGUGAAAUGCGUAGAUAUCUGGAGGAACACCGGUGGCGAAGGCGGCAUCCUGGACCGGCAUUGACGCUGAGGCGCGAAAGCCAGGGGAGCAAACGGG
This 253-nucleotide ribosomal RNA is filed under the name uncultured bacterium. RNAcentral's name for it is "partial 16S ribosomal RNA". It matches the Rfam family "Bacterial small subunit ribosomal RNA", at positions 524 to 776 of the family's 1533-position model. The record is from RNAcentral.